GUUGGGUAGGGGAGCGUUCUGUAAGCCUGCGAAGGUGUACUGUGAGGUAUGCUGGAGGUAUCAGAAGUGCGAAUGCUGACAUAAGUAACGAUAAUGCGGGUGAAAAACCCGCACGCCGGAAGACCAAGGGUUCCUGUCCAACGUUAAUCGGGGCAGGGUGAGUCGACCCCUAAGGCGAGGCUGAAAAGCGUAGUCGAUGGGAAACGGGUUAAUAUUCCCGUACUGGUGGUAACUGCGAUGGGGGAACGGAGAAGGCUAGGUUGUCCGGGCGACGGUCGUCCCGGUUCAAGCAGGUAGGCAGAGUGAUUAGGCAAAUCCGGUCACUUAAUGCUGAGAUGUGAUGACGAACCACUAAGGUGGUGAAGCAAUUGAUGCCCCGCUUCCAGGAAAAGCCUCUAAGCUUCAGGUUACCAACAAUCGUACCCCAAACCGACACAGGUGGUCAGGUAGAGAAUACUCAGGCGCUUGAGAGAACUCGGGUGAAGGAACUAGGCAAAAUGGUGCCGUAACUUCGGGAGAAGGCACGCUGGCGGUAGGUAAAGUCCCUCGCGGACGGCGCUGAAGCCAGUCGAAGAUACCAGCUGGCUGCAACUGUUUAUUAAAAACACAGCACUGUGCAAACACGAAAGUGGACGUAUACGGUGUGACGCCUGCCCGGUGCUGGAAGGUUAAUUGAUGGGGUUAGCGCAAGCGAAGCUCCUGAUCGAAGCCCCAGUAAACGGCGGCCGUAACUAUAACGGUCCUAAGGUAGCGAAAUUCCUUGUCGGGUAAGUUCCGACCUGCACGAAUGGCGUAAUGAUGGCCAGGCUGUCUCCACCCGAGACUCAGUGAAAUUGAACUCGCUGUGAAGAUGCAGUGUACCCGCGGCAAGACGGAAAGACCCCGUGAACCUUUACUAUAGCUUGACACUGAACAUUGAGCCUUGAUGUGUAGGAUAGGUGGGAGGCUUUGAAGUGUGGACGCCAGUCUGCAUGGAGCCAACCUUGAAAUACCACCCUUUAACGUUUGAUGUUCUAACCUAGGCCCAUAAACUGGGUCGGGGACCGUGUCUGGUGGGUAGUUUGACUGGGGCGGUCUCCUCCUAAAGAGUAACGGAGGAGCACGAAGGUUGGCUAAGCAUGGUCGGACAUCAUGCGGUUAGUGCAAAGGCAUAAGCCAGCUUGACUGCGAGAGUGACGGCUCGAGCAGGUACGAAAGUAGGUCUUAGUGAUCCGGUGGUUCUGAAUGGAAGGGCCAUCGCUCAACGGAUAAAAGGUACUCCGGGGAUAACAGGCUGAUACCGCCCAAGAGUUCAUAUCGACGGCGGUGUUUGGCACCUCGAUGUCGGCUCAUCACAUCCUGGGGCUGAAGUAGGUCCCAAGGGUAUGGCUGUUCGCCAUUUAAAGUGGUACGCGAGCUGGGUUUAGAACGUCGUGAGACAGUUCGGUCCCUAUCUGCCGUGGGCGUUGGAAGAUUGAGAGGGGUUGCUCCUAGUACGAGAGGACCGGAGUGAACGCACCACUGGUGUUCGGGUUGUCAUGCCAAUGGCAUUGCCCGGUAGCUAAGUGCGGAAGAGAUAACCGCUGAAAGCAUCUAAGCGGGAAACUUGCCUCGAGAUGAGUCUUCCCUGUCGCUUUAAGCGACCUAAAGGAACGUUUAAGACUAAGACGUUGAUAGGCUGGGUGUGUAAGCGUAGCGAUACGUUGAGCUAACCAGUACUAAUGAACCGUGAGGCUUAACCUG
This 1722-nucleotide ribosomal RNA is filed under the name Proteus mirabilis. Its description in RNAcentral is "partial 23S ribosomal RNA". It matches the Rfam family "Bacterial large subunit ribosomal RNA", at positions 1223 to 2925 of the family's 2925-position model. Lineage: Bacteria; Pseudomonadati; Pseudomonadota; Gammaproteobacteria; Enterobacterales; Morganellaceae. The record is from RNAcentral.